CUCUAUACGGAGUUACAAAGGACGACAUUAGACGAAUCAUCUGGAAAGAUGAAUCAAAGAAGGUAAUAAUCCUGUAGUCGAAAAUGUUGUCUCUCUUGAGUGGAUCCUGAGUACGACGGAGCACGUGAAAUUCCGUCGGAAUCUGGGAGGACCAUCUCCUAAGGCUAAAUACUCUCUAGUGACCGAUAGUGAACCAGUACCGUGAGGGAAAGGUGAAAAGCACCCCGGAAGGGGAGUGAAAUAGAACCUGAAACCGUGUGCUUACAAGUAGUCAGAGCCCGUUAAUGGGUGAUGGCGUGCCUUUUGUAGAAUGAACCGGCGAGUUACGAUUUGAUGCAAGGUUAAGCAGUAAAUGUGGAGCCGUAGCGAAAGCGAGUCUGAAUAGGGCGUUUAGUAUUUGGUCGUAGACCCGAAACCAGGUGAUCUACCCUUGGUCAGGUUGAAGUUCAGGUAACACUGAAUGGAGGACCGAACCGACUUACGUUGAAAAGUGAGCGGAUGAACUGAGGGUAGCGGAGAAAUUCCAAUCGAACCUGGAGAUAGCUGGUUCUCUCCGAAAUAGCUUUAGGGCUAGCCUCAAGUGAUGAUUAUUGGAGGUAGAGCACUGUUUGGACGAGGGGCCCCUCUCGGGUUACCGAAUUCAGACAAACUCCGAAUGCCAAUUAAUUUAACUUGGGAGUCAGAACAUGGGUGAUAAGGUCCGUGUUCGAAAGGGAAACAGCCCAGACCACCAGCUAAGGUCCCAAAAUAUAUGUUAAGUGGAAAAGGAUGUGGCGUUGCCCAGACAACUAGGAUGUUGGCUUAGAAGCAGCCAUCAUUUAAAGAGUGCGUAAUAGCUCACUAGUCGAGUGACACUGCGCCGAAAAUGUACCGGGGCUAAACAUAUUACCGAAGCUGUGGAUUGUCCUUUGGACAAUGGUAGGAGAGCGUUCUAAGGGC
Molecule: ribosomal RNA, 939 nt
Filed under: Staphylococcus aureus
Lineage: Bacteria; Bacillati; Bacillota; Bacilli; Caryophanales; Staphylococcaceae
Description: bacterial LSU rRNA
Rfam family: Bacterial large subunit ribosomal RNA
Source: RNAcentral